GACAUAUUGAGAUUAAGAUGCAUCUCAAAUAUAUGAUAUUACUUGAUUUAGAGUUUGUAUCAUAUUUCGCUUGCGGUACAAGGUCUAUGCAAUUACCUGAUCAGCUACGCGAAGAAGUUCAUUAGGCUUCAUGUUCUUUUUUAAAAUUGACAACUCUGCAUAUUGAAGUGAUCGUUGAAGAAGUAUCAGCACCAUUAUCUCAUAUUUGCGAUGAUGACGGUCUUGAGGAAACCUUCCUUUGGAUAUGUCCCUGGAGGAUCAUCGUUUUUGUUAAGUAAACCUACUCAUAAAAAUUGACAAGUCACAUCUAUAAUUUCAAAGGAAAUUUAAGAAACAAAAGCUAUUUUUAUCUGCUUUAAGGAAACUUAUAUAAAUUUUGUAAGCAAUGUAAAUUAGGAUUUUAAUUUUUUAUCGAAUCCUGUUUUUUCGAUACUUUGUUAAGUAGGUCGAUACACUUGCAUCUCGUGUGUAAAGCCUUGACCAGUCAUGCUUUAAUUAUAUAUUGUACAAAUUACAACUUCCUAAUUAGAUAAGAUGUAAUAACAUGUAAUUUUAAAUAUAAACAAUUUUUAUAAUUUACGAUCCCAUUGAAGAUUUUCAUAGUCUCAUCCAUCAAAACACGACAUGUUACUAUUACAUUACACGUGUGUAAUGUGGUAAGGUAACAAUCGUAAUCUUAUAUUAUAAUAUUAUCAAUGUAAUAUACUAUUGUCGUUUUAUUUUAUUAAAUUGGAUAAUCGAAAUGGUUAUACUAUAUUAUGAUAAUACUCAUGUUAUGAUUGUUAUAUUGUAAUAUUACUAUAUUGCUAUGCUAAAGAAACUGUUUUUGUAGCAAGUUACAUCAGUAAAACUUUAUGGUAAUAUUUAUUCUGUAGAAAAUUACUAGUUACAAUUAACGUGUAUGUACUUACCGUGUUCAAUUACCUGUUCUAAGCAAUUUUAUGUAUAAGGAAUUACUAAUGUAUAUUUGUUGGGCAUUUAUCGAUCAAUACUAUUGAAAAAAGAUGGCGAUAUGAAAAGAAAGAAUGAUCUGUAUGCAGCUAUACGAAUUAAUACAAAAUUUAAUCUGCAUGCGAUUAUAUUAUAGUAUAGGACUUCAAUAAGAUUUACCCUGAGUGUACUAGUAAGUGAGUAACGCUCGAGGGAGUCAAAAUCAAUUUUCACAUUUCGUGUAUAUUUUAGAUGUACUUCUAUCGGAUAUACUUCUUUAAAUUUUAAAUUUUUCUUUUAUACAUAUACCACUUUCAUUCGAACCGUUAAAUAAAUUAGUAGUCAUGUUCGACAUCCAUUUCAUUAUCACCAGAUUCGAGGACACCUAACGGUAUGUUUCCAUCAUUUCUGAUGCUGUGAAUAUUAUACCGUUUUAUACGAUAAAUUUAACACACAUAGUGUCUCAUAUUUACUGCGCGCUCACAAUUCGUAUUUCCUUUAACUUGUGUAUUUUACGAACGCCUUGAAAUUGUUUGGGGUUUUGUUUCGCAAUUGUUAAAUAAAGAUGGGACCACGUUCUCAGUAA
Molecule: long non-coding RNA, 1516 nt
Organism: Cephus cinctus (wheat stem sawfly)
Lineage: Eukaryota; Metazoa; Arthropoda; Insecta; Hymenoptera; Cephidae
Exons: 2
Source: RefSeq, a predicted model, not a curated record